CUUAAAAAUAAAAAAAAGGAAAAUUGUCUGAGAAACGGCACUGAAGAAAGCUUUAAGCAAAGGACCUUUUCUCGUCUUCUUUAAUGGCAGAUCUCUCAUUUUACUGACUUGCAUUAUGAGUUUACGGUCUCGUUUUUUAGCUAGCUGAGUUGG
Molecule: long non-coding RNA, 153 nt
Organism: Hibiscus syriacus
Lineage: Eukaryota; Viridiplantae; Streptophyta; Magnoliopsida; Malvales; Malvaceae
Exons: 3
Source: RefSeq, a predicted model, not a curated record